This 420-nucleotide ribosomal RNA is filed under the name uncultured bacterium. Its description in RNAcentral is "bacterial SSU rRNA". It matches the Rfam family "Bacterial small subunit ribosomal RNA", at positions 917 to 1338 of the family's 1533-position model. The record is from RNAcentral.
GGGCCCGCACAAGCGGUGGAGUAUGUGGUUUAAUUCGAUGCAACGCGAAGAACCUUACCAGGGUUUGACAUCCUGCGAAUCUCUUGGAAACGAGAGAGUGCCUUCGGGAACGCAGUGACAGGUGGUGCAUGGCUGUCGUCAGCUCGUGUCGUGAGAUGUUGGGUUAAGUCCCGCAACGAGCGCAACCCUUGCCUUUAGUUGCCAGCAUUAAGUUGGGCACUCUAGAGGGACUGCCGAGGAUAACUCGGAGGAAGGUGGGGAUGACGUCAAAUCAUCAUGCCCCUUAUGCUUAGGGCUACACACGUGCUACAAUGGGUGGUACAGAGGGUUGCCAAACCGUGAGGUGGAGCUAAUCCCUUAAAGCCAUUCUCAGUUCGGAUUGUAGGCUGAAACUCGCCUACAUGAAGCUGGAGUUACUAG